This 7369-nucleotide long non-coding RNA is filed under the name Lactuca sativa (garden lettuce). RNAcentral's name for it is "long non-coding RNA (LSAT_LNC001289)". Lineage: Eukaryota; Viridiplantae; Streptophyta; Magnoliopsida; Asterales; Asteraceae. The record is from RNAcentral.
AUCUAGCAUACAAAACAAUAACUAUAGCAAGAUAGAAUACAUACCUCUUUGGUGUAGAAAGUCUUCAUGAAGCUUGAGUGCCUAGUGCCCCAAGUGUGACACCUCAAAUGGAAUCACAAUCAUCAAAACACUUAGAAUAGCUUGAGAGAAUUCUACACUUCAUGAAAUUGGCUAGCCCUCUCUAGAAUAAUACUAGUGCCGAUUUUGCCAAGAAUAAUAUCUUUAUAUAGUGUUACAAUUAGGGCAAACCCUAAUUGUCAUGACUUUCCAUUUCCUUGGAUCCAUGGGUUCAAAUACACCAUGGAGCAUCCAUGAACCAUCCUAUGGGUUUUAGCCCAACUUGAUUAUCCAUGGAGCAUUAGCCCACUAUACAAGUAUGGAUGAUUUACACAAUCAACCCAUAUAUUUAAUUAGUCUUCUUUUGAUCACUUAAUUAAUCCUAGAUUAAUUCUUGAUCAAUACUAAUUAAAUAAUCUUAUUAUUCUUAUUAUUAAUAUACUAGAACUUAUAAUAUAUUAAUAACCAUAAGUGUCUUAUUUCUCUCAUUAUAGUCUAUCCAAGUGCAUGAUGGUAUGCAACCCAAAUGGACCAUGCCGGGUCGGGUCAAGUCUUACCAAUUAUAGUUAUGGACUUAGACAUUAAUCCAACAGUCUCCCACUUGGAUAAGUCUAAAACUAUUAUUGCGUAUGACUUCAGGAACCAACUGGCAAUCGUAGCUCUCAAAAGCUUCUGUCGAACUCUGACCUUGUAGAUGAACUCUGACCUUUGUCAAUGACUUGUCCAUUAGAUAAGGGAUCAUAUAUUCCUCCAUUCUAGAUAUCAUAUGGACUGAGACAUGGAUUAUAAUCAUUCUCUCUGUCCAUUUGUUGUUUCCCGAUUUCCGAUUUAUGACGACUGACUAAUUGAACAAAUCAAAUCAGUCCUGGCCCGGCCGAGCACUUCCAUUUGUCAUCAUCAAAUCAUCGAGGGGCCCACAGAUAUCGCUUUUAUCCCGAAGGUAAAAGGAAUGGAUAAACUUCGACUCAUAUGGCUUGUUCUACUACUUGUUGAAUCAUACACAAAGGCACGUUUUAUAGCACCGAGUUACCAAAUGCGUUUUCGUGCAAUCAAUGUACUAUCAACUCAUAGUAACAACUCAUAUCUCUAGGUUUGAAGAAUAUAAGAUAUUAUCGUCUCAUGAUCACUCGUGAUAAAAUCCAUGAAGUGAUUCCAAUGAGCGCGGGUUGAAUCCAAUACUCAGAACUUAUGAGCACUCAUGAGUGUUGUAGCCCUUUGUCCAACACCUUAGACCUCUACAAGCCAACCCAUGACAGUCUUAAUUCAUAUCUACUUCCAACAUAUGACCGACUGUGGAUGGUUUGAAUAACUUAGUCAUUCCGGAAGAAUAACCCAGUUUAUUCGGGAAGUCAAAACAUGCAAAAUGAAACACAAUAAUAAUUGAAUCCAAUAUGGUAUCAACCCUUUGAACAUAAAUAAAACACCUUUUAUUUAUCACCAUAUGAUUACACAUUAUUCAUUGUAUACUGUUUCAGCUAUCAACUUUAUUCUUGAAUUUAAAACAAUAGUUGUCCCAUGCUCCAAGCAUGUACACUAUGUUUUCUUAAACACUAGUCAUGCCACACACCAAGUAUGCAUACUAUGUUUGUCUAUGAUCUUUACUUUGUGAACUAGAUCAAUUGAACAUAACUUCAAUGAUUCUCUUUUCACACUCCCAAAUCCUUACUGCAAAUGCAAGAAUUCCAAAUUCAUGCCAUUUACUGAAAUCUGUUAGAUUCUAAACUUAUAUGCAUUGAUCCUCUUGUAAUGAUUAUGCACAAAGUCACAAAGACUUGGCAACAAUCAUUACAGAGUAUUCCAAAGGAGAUCAACUCCUUGGAAAUAUCCUUCUUGCAUUAAGUUUCCUUAAUCUUACACAGAUUGAAAAUUCUAACUUUGAAACAUUUCCAGAUUCCAUUUUGACUAUCACUUCUGAACAAGAGUUGCCUCCUUACAGAUUAUGUCAAUAUGGUCCUUCCAGAAUUAUCACUAUACUUCCAAUUGUCCUUGAGUAACCAAUCUUUGGUAAACCUUAGAUUGUCCUCGACAAUUGUUUAAUCCUUUUAGUCAUAUCCAGUUCUAAACCUUUUCCCUUCUUAAUGCCCCAGGCAUUUGGAAAAUUUUAGAACGGAUGAAUAUAGCACAUGUAAUCGAUCCUAUAUCCGAAGCAUAUGGGACACGAUUCAUGAUGUCUUACAUAAAGACUAAACCAGUCUUUUGCUAUAAUAUUUCCAUUUCAAUUUGCCAAGUUCUCAUAAUUCAGAUUAUGAAAAGGGAUGCCGUAAUCAUAAUCGAAUUUUAGAACGCAAAUAAUGGACCCAUAUACAGAAUUUCCUUAUGUUGAGCCAUUCCAACAUGAAAUUCAUAUAUAUCCUUGACUAAAUGAUUAAAACCUCACGAUCUAAGCUUAUAGAUUUGAGAUGAAGCAUAAUUUCCUCUCCCUUAAUUAUAGCAAAACAACUUUUUCCCAAUUGAAACUUUUGUUUUCUAUAAUUAACAUUGCUAACUUGCAAUACUUAUCAUAAUUAUCAUGCUCCCACUAACAUGAUGAUUAUUAGCAUAACACUUAUGCUCCCACUAGCUUUGACAUGUACUCAGAAAUCAGCUGGACAGUCUGAAAUUUAGAUUCAUACACCCUUUCCGUAGAUAGCUCACCUGUGUGUCUAAGCAAUUUCAAGAACCAUGAAAAGGGAUACCGUAAUCAUGGUCUCAAUUGCUUAGGCAUUUGCCAUUUCUCACAAGUCCAUGUUAGUGUGCCGGUUAACCACACGCGCUCCACUAACGACUUUUGAAAAUGCAAAUAACACAAUUGAUAUCUUCGUAAAAUCUACUUAGUGAAAGCGUUUCCUCACCAUCAUUUUCAUGAAUCGGAGAGAAACCUUAUGACACUUAGAUUUAUAUGGUGUAUGAGUUCCUACCCAUAUGAAUUUGUCAAACCAUAAUCACAAGACAAAGAUAAUGACAAAUCCAAAACCAUAUGGAUUGAACUCAAUCUUAACUUCUUGCCACCUGGCAGCUCAAGGGCCUGCCAUUGCUUCCAAGUUGUUAUGCAACAAACUGAGAACUCUAAGAACUCAUAUGCAAAGCCAACUUUAACUGGAAUGGGCACAGAUAUGUCAACACGAUAGGUUAUAAACCUCAAGUCGUGUGCUAGUGAAGAACUUCAGGUUUUAUUCUUGAUUAUUUCUUGAGACUUUCAAGACCUUUAAGACUCCCACUGUCCUCUUGACAUAUAAGACUCCCUUGUCAAACAUCCAAGAGAUAGUGCGGAUUCUAAUCAAGAAAAACACUUUACCCAAUUGGCCUAAGUUGGUCUUUGUUUUAUCCAAAACAUCACAACUUACCAAUUUCAAAUGUACAAGAGUAGAAAACUUUUACUCUUACAUUUGACAAGUGUUUUAAACCUUCUUUAAGACAUGUCACUCAAAUGACAAUCUUGGAGUAUGACUCUAAGACUUGUAUUGGAACGAAGUAUGACUCAUCUUCUUGAUUUAACCAUUUCAACAAUUCAAGUUCCUCUUCUUAGUCAUAAGAAUGCACUAAGAUUUCCUUAGAGAACUAAUUGUGAUAUGGUUUCUUAAUCAUUAAGAUGAUCACAAAACUGAUACUAAAGUACUCUCCCAUCUUUUCAGAUUUGAGAAACUUUUAUCCUUCUGCCUAAUUUGAUUCUUCUUAUCGAUCUUUAGUGGUGGACUUAAUCAGUGCACAAGAAUGUGUACUCGAUCCCUUAGUCCUUUACUUGACUCACACAUCCAUGUGAACAAGUAAUUAGUCUUAAUUUUCCAAAACUUGAAAGUUCUCAUUCAUCAUGCUAUACAACUUGCAUGAUUCCAAGUUCCGGUCCAAUUGAAACUUGGGUGAUGAGAAUCUUUCCUUAUUUGGUAAAUCUAGACAUUACCACAAAUGAAAGAAUCAAUUUCAUAUUUCCACUCUUGCUCUUAAUGGAAUCAUAUAAGCAACAAUUUUUCCUCAAAAGCCAUUGUAAGGAUAUUUUAAAAUAAAUAAAAUCAAAAAAAUUUUCUUUUAUUUUAAAACUUUGCGGAAAAACUUAUCCUUACAAUCCAUAUGAAAACUUGUUGUUAUCUAUUCCUAAGCAAUAUCUCAUAACUCCUAAGAAGUAGCUCAAGAAUCCGAUCUUCAAACUAUGCGAUAGAAAUCCAUCUACGCCAUCAGAUUCAGCAUAUUCUUUCUUUAAGUUUCUUCACUUUUCUUUGAUUCUUAAAACAUCACCAUGUGACCCAGUCACAUCAUGUAUCAAGAAUCUCAGAAUAGAAACUUAACAGAGUUAGAUAGUGGACUUUACCUGAAGUAGAGUCAAACUUAUUGACUUUAACAUCCUUAGGUAAAUUUGGCAGCUUCGCAACCAAUGCCCCUUCCUUUGGCAAUAUAAACAUAUGGACCCUUUGAUAAUGGUACACGGGACUAUCACAGACUUAGCUUUUCUCUUUACCAUUUGGUCAACCGAGUUGACUAUGGCCGAUCCCUUUCCAUUGGGAAGAGAAUGCUUUACUGGAUAUCCAAUGUCAUCAUUGUCAAUGUCCAUAAAGUUUUAGGAAGUUGAUCUUAGCAAAUAGAUAAGAUCAUUAAGGGUCUUGUCAUAGUCUGUUUCAUAGGUGUCCCAAAGGAACUCACUAUGUGACUUAGAAAGUGAUUGAACCACCAACUUUCUCAAGACUUUGACACCCAACUCUCCCGGCUUGUCAAUAUGUGACUACAUCUCCAAGAUGUGACCACACCUAGACCUUGCCUUGCUAAUAGGGCCUGAGUGACCUUAAACUUUUCAAGAACUUGUGGGUUAGGGAGAAUAAUUUGAAGAGGUGAAGAAGUAUGAUAUCCAUGGGACAUCAUCUUCAUUAGGAAACCUUGUUUCAAGAGAUUUGGGAAGAUCAUAGGUGUCUAAACCAGACAUCUUUUGGGAGAUAUUCAAGAUAGUUGAUUUAAAGUCCUUAAUAUGACACCCAAUAUGAAAUAUUAAGGCUAGGACCCAACAAACUAUUUUAUAACUUAGAAGAGGUAUGCCGUAAUCCAAGCUAUAAAAUAUUUGAAGGUAGGUGAAUGACGAUUCACCAAUUUCCACCAAGAUAAACGAAAUGUAUUAUUAGGUUUUAAUUGGUUUUGAAACUCCUAGAUCUUUGAGAUUCAUUGAACUUUUCAAAGGCAUGUUUCAAUCUCGAGUGUGCCCUUCAGGUUUUGUGACUGGGAUGCCGAGGAUCACAAAACAAGGUGUGAAGUAACCAUGCAAAUCACUUGGUACCCUUAAUAAAUUACCCCUCAAUCGAUGUGCCGGUUAACCACACACGCUCCAUCGAUACUAUGAUAAAUAUUAAGUCACCCUUUACCUACCUUGUUAAGUCCAAGUUAGUGUGCCGGUUAACCACACACGCUCCACUAACGACUUAGACAAAGUGUAAAGUGUAAUUUCAUGGAUUAGCACCUUAUUCACAUUUUUCCUAAGUAACUAAGAUUGGGUAUUAUUAAGAGUUUAGUUACUUAGUAUUAUCAUUAAUACUUUUAAUGAAGGGAGAAUUCUAGUCCUGUCAAACCCGUUCGGCUAACGACCCUCCACCAGUCAAGCAAGCGGUGGGUGAGAGUGGACACCCAUUAAGUUGCCAUUUUAUAGGCAACAACCUUAUACCCACCUUAUAGACCGGCUUCGUGAAUGAGGCGUACUAGCGGUAAGACUGACUUUACUCUUAUACAUAUAUAUAUUAUUAACUUAUAAUAUUAUAAAGUAUAAGGGUUGAAUUUUAACUUUUAAAAUUCUAAGGGCUAACUUGGAAUUAAAGUAUUCAUACUUGAAAACUUUUCAAAUUCCAAAACUUGAGGGCAAGUUUUGAAACUAUUCAAAACUAAUUAAUUCCAUAACUUAUGUGUUUAAAGUAGUUUUAAUCCAAAAACUCUUCAAGUUCCAUAACUUGAGGACAAGUUAUGGAAGACUUUAAACUAAUAAAAGAACUAACUUUUUCUUUAUUUUAUAACUUAUGGAUUUAAUUAUGGUUACAUAUUUUUCUUUAAUGAAGUGACUCUUGAACUUCCAUAACUUGAGGACAAGUUAUGGAGUCAAAAAAAAUUAUUCAAUGACACAAGACUCUUCAUUUUGUAACCAUUGCCAACUUUUAUGAGUUUUAUGAGUCUUUAAUGUGACUCUUCAUGUAACUUGAGGACAAGUUACACAAACACAUUUUAUACUCAACUCUUAGAUUAAAAUGGAUUGAAAACAACUAUUUCACUCAACAUUUCUAUUAAUCUAAGCAACUCAUAAGAACAAGAUAAUUCAAAUCAAACUUUUUCAUGUAAUUAGUCUAAACCUUAAACUAAUACAAAACAUGAAUCUAUUGACAAUUAUCUUUGAAAAUGGAUUAGCAUGAACAUUACCACAUCAAAAACAAGUUUAUAAGUUCAAAAACAACUUAGGGUAAUGUUCCUAGUCCAUUUCUAGCCAAAAAACUCGAAAAUAUGCUGUCUGGGGGUCCAACUCGUCGAGUGCAUGAACCAACUCGGCGAGUUGGAUCGAAUUCAUCACUUUUUAGGCAUGGACUCGCCGAGUCUCCUGAUGGACUCGCCGAGUCUGAUGGCCAGACAGCACCAAAUUCGUUUUUUCAGCUUCUAUUGCAGGUAUAACAAGAAAACAAGCCUAGGCUCUGAUACCACUGUUGGGUUUUGAGCAUUCUAACACUCCUAAGUGUACAUGCAACCCUAAAUACCUUGGAUCUAUGUUUUCUCUAUUAUACAUGCAAAUAAGAACUUCCAAGGUAUUAUCCUAAUCUAGCAUACAAAACAAUAACUAUAGCAAGAUAGAAUACAUACCUCUUUGAUGUAGAAAGUCUUCAUGAAGCUUGAGUGCCUAGUGCCCCAAGUGUGACACCUCAAAUGGAAUCACAAUCACCAAAACACUUAGAAUAGCUUGAGAGAAUUCUACACUUGAUGAAAUUGGCUAGCCCUCUCUAGAAUAAUACUAGUGCCGAUUUUGCCAAGAAUAAUAUCUUUAUAUAGUGUUACAAUUAGGGCAAACCCUAAUUGUCAUGACUUUCCAUUUCCUUGGAUCCAUGGGUUCAAAUACACCAUGGAGCAUCCAUGAACCAUCCUAUGGGUUUUAGCCGAACUUGAUUAUCCAUGGAGCAUUAGCCCACUAUACAAGUAUGGAUGAUUUACACAAUCAACCCAUAUAUUUAAUUAGUCUUCUUUUGAUCACUUAAUUAAUCCUAGAUUAAUUCUUGAUCAAUACUAAUUAAAUAAUCUCAUUAUUCUUAUUAUUAAUAUACUAGAACUUAUAAUAUAUUAAUAACCAUAAGUGUCUUAUAUCUCUCAUUAUAGUCUAUCCAAGUGCAUGAUG